GACGAACGCUGGCGGCGUGCUUAACACAUGCAAGUCGAACGGAAAGGCCCUGCUUUUGUGGGGUGCUCGAGUGGCGAACGGGUGGGUAACACGUGAGUAACCUGCCCUUGACUUUGGGAUAACUUCAGGAAACUGGGGCUAAUACCGGAUAGGAGCUCCUGCUGCAUGGUGGGGGUUGGAAAGUUUCGGCGGUUGGGGAUGGACUCGCCGCUUAUCAGCUUGUUGGUGGGGUAGUGGCUUACCAAGGCUUUGACGGGUAGCCGGCCUGAGAGGGUGACCGGCCACAUUGGGACUGAGAUACGGCCCAGACUCCUACGGGAGGCAGCAGUGGGGAAUAUUGCACAAUGGGCGGAAGCCUGAUGCAGCAACGCCGCGUGCGGGAUGACGGCCUUCGGGUUGUAAACCGCUUUCGCCUGUGACGAAGCGUGAGUGACGGUAAUGGGUAAAGAAGCACCGGCUAACUACGUG
This 468-nucleotide ribosomal RNA is filed under the name uncultured bacterium. RNAcentral's name for it is "partial 16S ribosomal RNA". It matches the Rfam family "Bacterial small subunit ribosomal RNA", at positions 28 to 507 of the family's 1533-position model. The record is from RNAcentral.